Long non-coding RNA from Brienomyrus brachyistius, 583 nucleotides. RefSeq lists it as uncharacterized. The record is from RefSeq and is a predicted model, not a curated record. The transcript has 3 exons. Lineage: Eukaryota; Metazoa; Chordata; Actinopteri; Osteoglossiformes; Mormyridae.
AAGGGUUUCCCCAUAAAAGCUACACUCUCUUCGCUGUUGAGACCAAAAGUUUGUAUGAUUGCCGAGAGUUUGUUUUAAGACUGUACUUUUAUCAGAGGGGGACUGUAAUGUGAGCACGCAAACCGGGAGGGGUACACGGGAUAUUUUAAAAUAUAUAUCCGUCCAGCGCUGAUGGCAGCUUAUAUGGAUUCUGGUUUGAACUACGAAGCAGGAUCUAUGAAACAUAUUCUACGAUGGCCCGUCACUGAAUCUGAGAGACUCGAGCAUCCACCCUCGCUAUUUAAACUUGGAACAGGGCAGUACGGCAGCUCAAUGCAUAUUCCUUGACGUCUUGCACUGCAUUACGCAAAUGCUGAUCGAGUUUGUGUUUCUAAAUAUUUCGAUUCCGUUAAUUUAACUAAAAAUAAUUUAUGCCUGGCAUUUCUGCAUACUGCUGUUAGAUUUAAAGCCUGACUCUAAUCUUAAUUCGAAAUUCCUAUAUGUUAAAUAAAAAAAAAAACCGAAUGAUUUUACUCAUAGCCAAGGAUCAACUGAAUUAUGAGUGAAAGAUACGAAAAAGCACACAGCUGUCAAUAUCAAACGU